GGUUUGAGUUAUUUCGGAACUUCAAAGUUUAGUUGAUUUAUAUGUUAUUUAACAUCAAUUGUGGUUAUGUUGUUAGGUUUGAGAAAAGAGUAAGGUAUGUCUCUCGCAAGGCUCGGGCUGAUGUCAGAAAACGUGUGAAGGGACGAUUUGUGAAAGCUGGUGAUGUUUAUGACUAUGACCCUUUAAGCGAAACCGGAAACUACUAACUACUAAGUGUAGUUAUUGUUACCCGAAAAUGGAUGAAGUUUGAUGCAUUCUUUCUCCAUGCAAUGACAAGAUUUAUGGCUUUAUCACAGGGGCCUAGAAUUUCUUCAAGGGAAGAACUUUGUAACAAGGUCAUGUCGAGACUUCAGUAGAAGCCCAACAACAGAUUAUGUGUCCUCCACUACAAAGGAUAUCCAAGUUGUGAUGUCAGCUAACAUGACUAUAUAACAAAGUCCCCCCAUAAGACACAUAGUGCCCUUUGUUCUAUGGACUUUGACUUUCUCUUUGCAAAAUCCUGUUUCUUAGUACUUUUCUAAGAAUGCAAAGUUCAUGUUAGUCCUUCAUGUUCCAUGUGGUCCAAGUCACAUGUAGAAAUGUUGAUAACUAUUAUGAUAAGUGGCUCAAUUUGAUAAGAGUUAUAAAUAAGCUACAUUGUGCAGUAUGCUUUAUUGUUUUUCCUCUUUAAGUUUGAUAAGUAUAGCAUAAAAUAUACAUCUAUGUAGUUAGAGGGUGUAAUUGGUAACAGAUCUGAGGCGUGAUAAAUUGUAAAUUCGAAGGUUAUGUAUAGUAUGAUGAGAUGCUAUUUAUAUUGGAC
This 799-nucleotide long non-coding RNA is filed under the name Lupinus angustifolius (narrow-leaved blue lupine). RNAcentral describes it as "long non-coding RNA (LANG_LNC001756)". The record is from RNAcentral. Lineage: Eukaryota; Viridiplantae; Streptophyta; Magnoliopsida; Fabales; Fabaceae.